This 253-nucleotide unclassified non-coding RNA is filed under the name uncultured Dehalococcoidia bacterium. RNAcentral describes it as "contains 16S-23S intergenic spacer region". It matches the Rfam family "Bacterial small subunit ribosomal RNA", at positions 524 to 776 of the family's 1533-position model. Lineage: Bacteria; Bacillati; Chloroflexota; Dehalococcoidia. The record is from RNAcentral.
UACGUAGGAGGCGAGCGUUGUCCGGAUUUACUGGGCGUAAAGAGAGCGCAGGUGGCUAAGUUCGUCGAUAGUGCAAGCUCCAGGCUCAACUUGGAGAGGUCUGUCGAUACUGCUUGGCUUGAGGACGGUAGAGGAGCACGGAAUUCCUGGUGUAGUGGUGAAAUGCGUAGAUAUCAGGAGGAACACCGGUGGCGAAAGCGGUGCUCUGGGCCGUUCCUGACACUCAGGCUCGAAAGCGUGGGUAGCGAACCGG